UGGGGAAUAUUGGGCAAUGGGGGCAACCCUGACCAGCGACGCCGCGUGAGGGAAGAAGGCCUUAGGGUCGUAAACCUCUGUUGUGUGGGAAGAAGGAAGUGACGGUACCACACGAGGAAGUCCCGGCUAACUACGUGCCAGCAGCCGCGGUAAUACGUAGGGGACGAGCGUUGUCCGGAAUUACUGGGCGUAAAGGGCGCGUAGGCUGUCAUUUAAGUCAGCUGUGAAAUGGUCCGGCUCAACCGGAUCAUGCGGUUGAAACUGGAUGACUGGAGUGCUGGAGAGGCAAGUGGAAUUCCCAGUGUAGCGGUGAAAUGCGUAGAUAUUGGGAAGAACACCGGUGGCGAAGGCGACUUGCUGGCCAGAAACUGACGCUGAGGCGCGAAAGCCAGGGGAGCAAACGGG
This 405-nucleotide ribosomal RNA is filed under the name uncultured bacterium. RNAcentral describes it as "bacterial SSU rRNA". It matches the Rfam family "Bacterial small subunit ribosomal RNA", at positions 355 to 776 of the family's 1533-position model. The record is from RNAcentral.